RNAcentral lists this ribosomal RNA (330 nucleotides) under uncultured Streptococcus sp. RNAcentral's name for it is "bacterial SSU rRNA". It matches the Rfam family "Bacterial small subunit ribosomal RNA", at positions 1047 to 1382 of the family's 1533-position model. The record is from RNAcentral. Lineage: Bacteria; Bacillati; Bacillota; Bacilli; Lactobacillales; Streptococcaceae.
GGUUGUCGUCAGCUCGUGUCGUGAGAUGUUGGUAAGUCCGCACGAGCGCAACCCCUAUUGUUAGUUGCCAUCAUUCAGUUGGGCACUCUAGCGAGACUGCCGGUAAUAAACCGGAGGAAGGUGGGGAUGACGUCAAAUCAUCAUGCCCCUUAUGACCUGGGCUACACACGUGCUACAAUGGUUGGUACAACGAGUUGCGAGUCGGUGACGGCGAGCUAAUCUCUUAAAGCCAAUCUCAGUUCGGAUUGUAGGCUGCAACUCGCCUACAUGAAGUCGGAAUCGCUAGUAAUCGCGGAUCAGCACGCCGCGGUGAAUACGUUCCCGGGCCUU